AGGGUUUGUGUCAUCGGGCGGCAACGCCUCGACGCCGCCACGCCGCGUGAGCGAUGAAGGCCUUCGGGUUGUAAAGCCCUUUCGGCGGGACGAAAAUGACGGUACUGGAAGAAGAAGCUGCGGCUAACUCCGUGCCAGCAGCCGCGGUAAUAACU
This 155-nucleotide ribosomal RNA is filed under the name uncultured bacterium. Its description in RNAcentral is "partial 16S ribosomal RNA". It matches the Rfam family "Bacterial small subunit ribosomal RNA", at positions 357 to 527 of the family's 1533-position model. The record is from RNAcentral.